This 402-nucleotide ribosomal RNA is filed under the name uncultured bacterium. RNAcentral's name for it is "bacterial SSU rRNA". It matches the Rfam family "Bacterial small subunit ribosomal RNA", at positions 355 to 774 of the family's 1533-position model. The record is from RNAcentral.
UGGGGAAUAUUGGACAAUGGGCGCAAGCCUGAUCCAGCCAUGCCGCGUGAGUGAUGAAGGCCCUAGGGUUGUAAAGCUCUUUUGUGCGGGAAGAUAAUGACGGUACCGCAAGAAUAAGCCCCGGCUAACUUCGUGCCAGCAGCCGCGGUAAUACGAAGGGGGCUAGCGUUGCUCGGAAUCACUGGGCGUAAAGGGUGCGUAGGCGGGUCUUUAAGUCAGGGGUGAAAUCCUGGAGCUCAACUCCAGAACUGCCUUUGUGACUGCAUAGCUGGAGUACGGCAGAGGGGGAUGGAAUUCCGCGUGUAGCAGUGAAAUGCGUAGAUAUGCGGAGGAACACCGAUGGCGAAGGCAAUCCCCUGGGCCUGUACUGACGCUCAUGCACGAAAGCGUGGGGAGCAAACA